Molecule: unclassified non-coding RNA, 353 nt
Filed under: Hevea brasiliensis (rubber tree)
Lineage: Eukaryota; Viridiplantae; Streptophyta; Magnoliopsida; Malpighiales; Euphorbiaceae
Source: RNAcentral
GCGUAAAGCAACGACAACACACGUGAGCAACCACCAAACCUCCAUAUUUCGGGACGCUCCUCAUCACUGUCACGCGGUGUCAACUUCAACGGCGAUAGACAGAAAAGUAGCAAGGGGGCAUAAGCCUAUGCGCUGGAGUUUGUCUUCUUCCUCCGCGUUCUUCUCUGUUUCAUACGAUUUCCAGCAGCCUACAACCUUCGAAUCGUCCUUCAUCCUCCAGGUGUCGCAAUCCCAAGCCGCCUUUGUCCUUGCCACGAGAUCGAAUGGUUUCCCUAUUUUUCCCGUUGCAUUUGUGAGGAUAGAUGAAUUCGCACUGUAGGCUAUUAUCAAUUAAGAGUUUGACUUUUGAAAGG